RNAcentral lists this ribosomal RNA (508 nucleotides) under uncultured bacterium. Its description in RNAcentral is "bacterial SSU rRNA". It matches the Rfam family "Bacterial small subunit ribosomal RNA", at positions 33 to 507 of the family's 1533-position model. The record is from RNAcentral.
ACGCUGGCGGCGUGCUUAACACAUGCAAGUCGACGGAAAAGAGGGGAAGAGCUUGCUCUUUUCAGAAUUGAGUGGCAAACGGGUGAGUAACACGUAAACAACCUGCCUUCAGGAUGGGGACAACAGACGGAAACGACUGCUAAUACCGAAUAAGUUCCAAGAGCCGCAUGGCCCAUGGAAGAAAAGGUGGCCUCUACCUGUAAGCUAUCGCCUGAAGAGGGGUUUGCGUCUGAUUAGCUGGUUGGAGGGGUAACGGCCCACCAAGGCGACGAUCAGUAGCCGGUCUGAGAGGAUGAACGGCCACACUGGAACUGAGACACGGUCCAGACUCCUACGGGAGGCAGCAGUGGGGAAUCUUCCGCAAUGGGCGAAAGCCUGACGGAGCAACGCCGCGUGAGUGAUGACGGCCUUCGGGUUGUAAAACUCUGUGAUCCGGGACGAAAAGGCAGAGUGCGAAGAACAAACUGCAUUGACGGUACCGGAAAAGCAAGCCACGGCUAACUACGUG